UAGCGGCGAGUGAAGCGGCAAAAGCUCAAAUUUGAAAUCUGGCACUUUCAGUGUCCGAGUUGUAAUUUGAAGAAGGUAUCUUUGGGUCUGGCUCUUGUCUAUGUUUCUUGGAACAGAACGUCACAGAGGGUGAGAAUCCCGUGCGAUGAGAUGACCCAGACCUAUGUAAAGUUCCUUCGAAGAGUCGAGUUGUUUGGGAAUGCAGCUCUAAGUGGGUGGUAAAUUCCAUCUAAAGCUAAAUAUUGGCGAGAGACCGAUAGCGAACAAGUACAGUGAUGGAAAGAUGAAAAGAACUUUGAAAAGAGAGUGAAAAAGUACGUGAAAUUGUUGAAAGGGAAGGGCUUGAGAUCAGACUUGGUAUUUUGUAUGUUACUCUUUCGGGGGUGGCCUCUACAGUUUACCGGGCCAGCAUCAGUUUGGGCGGUAGGAGAAUUGCAAAGAAAUGUGGCACUGCUUCGGUAGUGUGUUAUAGUCUUUGUCGAUACUGCCAGCCUAGACUGAGGACUGCGGCUUCGG
This 516-nucleotide ribosomal RNA is filed under the name Lodderomyces metapsilosis. Its description in RNAcentral is "eukaryotic LSU rRNA". It matches the Rfam family "Eukaryotic large subunit ribosomal RNA", at positions 84 to 605 of the family's 3401-position model. The record is from RNAcentral. Lineage: Eukaryota; Fungi; Ascomycota; Pichiomycetes; Serinales; Debaryomycetaceae.